RNAcentral lists this transfer RNA (82 nucleotides) under Dreissena polymorpha. RNAcentral describes it as "transfer RNA serine (anticodon AGA)". It matches the Rfam family "tRNA". From Rfam's summary of the family: Transfer RNA (tRNA) molecules are approximately 80 nucleotides in length. Their secondary structure includes four short double-helical elements and three loops (D, anti-codon, and T loops). Further hydrogen bonds mediate the characteristic L-shaped molecular structure. tRNAs have two regions of fundamental functional importance: the anti-codon, which is responsible for specific mRNA codon recognition, and the 3' end, to which the tRNAs corresponding amino acid is attached (by aminoacyl-tRNA synthetases). tRNAs cope with the degeneracy of the genetic code in two manners: having more than one tRNA (with a specific anti-codon) for a particular amino acid; and 'wobble' base-pairing, i.e. permitting non-standard base-pairing at the 3rd anti-codon position. The record is from Rfam by way of RNAcentral. Lineage: Eukaryota; Metazoa; Mollusca; Bivalvia; Myida; Dreissenidae.
GUUGUCGUGGCCGAGUGGUUAAGGCGAUAGGCUAGAAAUCUGUUGGGAUCUUCCCGCGCAGGUUCGAAACUUGCCGACAGCG